UGGGGAAUAUUGGACAAUGGGCGCAAGCCUGAUCCAGCCAUGCCGCGUGAGUGAUGAAGGCCCUAGGGUUGUAAAGCUCUUUCACCGGUGAAGAUAAUGACGGUAACCGGAGAANAAGCCCCGG
This 124-nucleotide ribosomal RNA is filed under the name bacterium 050652. RNAcentral describes it as "partial 16S rRNA". It matches the Rfam family "Bacterial small subunit ribosomal RNA", at positions 355 to 496 of the family's 1533-position model. The record is from RNAcentral.